GUCAACCUAAAGGAAGAAACUGAGGCAAAAUUAAUGAACACUACUCCCCAAAUAGGUUCUGCCCAUGGGAUGUGGAGAUGAUGAAUUUUCUAACCUCAGUGUUGCUGACACUUAGAUCCAUGCGCUUCUGGAAAGACUCAUUUCUAAGCCAUCACGGCUGAUUGAAUGAUUGUAUCCCCCAGGUGUUUAAUAAUGGAUCCAUGUCAAUCCUAAAAGAAGUAUCUGGUGGACUGCAAUAAGGUUCUGCCUGUGAUCGUCUUCAUUUUAUCAUCCACUCAUGAAGAUGUGAAAGCCAGACUUCAGACAGACAAUUAGAGGGCAUUAGUAAUGCAUAUUGGAUGAGAAGUUGUGACACAAAAUUUUAAUAGGCUGCAAAGAUGUGCUAAAAUUCACUAGGUAUAAAUGAUGUCAUAGGUUCAGGGAGAUACUGAGACAAGUGUGAACAGAAUACAUGAGAUUACACUGAAGUUCAAUUAACUGCUAGUCAAAAACUAAAAACUAAAACAAUGUAUUCUGUAGUGAACACUUGCAGAUCUGUGUGCUUAGUUCACCUUUUCUAGAAGUUGCCCCUUCCCUUGUCCAGAUGGUUGCAAAAAAGCACUGACGUCACAACAUGACCUGGUUCCUGGCCACAGUUGAUAGGUCCAGAAACUGAUACUCAACUUAAGAAUAAGGAUCUGUUCUGUUUAUUUUAAAAUCAGAACCAAGAAUGGUAAGCUGGACUGUCUUCGAAAGCCUGGACUCUAAGAAGUAAAGCUUUGGAUUUAUAGGCAGCCAUGUCCCCCACCACUGGGGUGGCAGAGGAAUCUAGUCUUUGGAGAGAGGGGUGGACAUGAGAGAUGGAAAGAGACUCCUGUCUACAUGUUCCUAUGGCUCAGUUGCAUUUCUCUUCCUUGAGUAUCACUGUAUUCUAAUAACCUAAUAGAUCCUCAUAUCUUCCCUUUCAACUCAAGCUAACUAAGUGUCUCAUAUUUGCAAAGCAAAAUGUUCCAAGUACAUGACUUAAGCUCCAGCUACAGUGCCCUGAAUAAGGGUGGGAUAAUCAUAAUAGUAAAUUUCCAAGUGGCCAAGUCUUAACUUUGCCUUGGCCACACUAAUGUGGUCCAUGUGGUCAUUUCCAGGCUCAACUUUCUGAAGAUGAUGGUCAAGAGACAGAAGUCUCUGAGGAAGAGGAGGUAGCUGUUUAGAAAUGUUUAAAGGGUUGCCAUGUAUAAGUCAAAGUAGGUGUUCUAUGUUGCUCCAACAGACAAAAAUGAUACCAAUAGUCAAAAGUUGGAAUGCAGAUUUUGACUGGACACAACAAUUGUUUUUGUAAGUAUUAGACUUAUCCAAUAAAGGAAUGGAUGACCUA
This 1351-nucleotide long non-coding RNA is filed under the name Homo sapiens (human). RNAcentral describes it as "HSALNT0305953". The record is from RNAcentral. Lineage: Eukaryota; Metazoa; Chordata; Mammalia; Primates; Hominidae.